GGACCGAGAAGUUACCCAAAACCUCAAUUAGUCACUUAGUGGAGCUGAGGUGAAUUGGGAGCUCGCGGGAGCAAACUAUCUCGGUCCUGAAUUCCUUAGGAAUUCUGCCUAUUUAAACACUAAAUCGGACGUAAUAGUAACGCGGUGGCUAGGUUGCGCGUUACUACAAAAUUGGCACCUGAUAUCCAGUUGAGUAAUCGGGGAGUACUGGGCGCCAAAGUAAAGACAAUAGGCCUCUAUCGGCUAUGUGAUGUAACGCACAUCGCAGCAAC
This 272-nucleotide small RNA is filed under the name synthetic construct. The record is from RNAcentral.